UACGAAGGGGGCUAGCGUUGCUCGGAAUUACUGGGCGUAAAGGGUGCGUAGGCGGUCGGGUAAGUCUGAUGUGAAAUCUCACAGCUUAACUGUGAAACUGCAUUGGAUACUAUCCGGCUCGAGGAAUGGAGGGGAGACUGGAAUACUUGGUGUAGCAGUGAAAUGCGUAGAUAUCACUUGGAACGCCAAAGGUGAAAACAGUCUGCUGGGGAUCUGCUGACGCUGAGACACGAAAGCCAGGGGAGCGAACGGG
Molecule: ribosomal RNA, 253 nt
Filed under: uncultured bacterium
Lineage: Bacteria
Description: partial 16S ribosomal RNA
Rfam family: Bacterial small subunit ribosomal RNA
Source: RNAcentral